CCUACGGGAGGCAGCAGUGAGGAAUAUUGGUCAAUGGGCGAGAGCCUGAACCAGCCAAGUCGCGUGAGGGAGUACUGCCCUAUGGGUUGUAAACCUCUUUUGUCGGGGAGCAAAAGCCGGACGUGUCCGGCUGUGAGAGUACACGAAGAAAAAGCAUCGGCUAACUCCGUGCCAGCAGCCGCGGUAAUACGGAGGAUGCGAGCGUUAUCCGGAUUUAUUGGGUUUAAAGGGUGCGCAGGCGGACUUUUAAGUCAGCGGUAAAAUCGUGGGGCUCAACCCCAUCCAGCCGUUGAAACUGGGGAUCUAGAGUGUGCGAGAGGUAUGCGGAAUGCGUGGUGUAGCGGUGAAAUGCAUAGAUAUCACGCAGAACCCCGAUUGCGAAGGCAGCAUACCGGUGCACAACUGACGCUCAGGCACGAAAGCGUGGGUAUCGAACAGGAUUAGAUACCCCAGUAGUC
Molecule: ribosomal RNA, 458 nt
Filed under: uncultured bacterium
Lineage: Bacteria
Description: partial 16S ribosomal RNA
Rfam family: Bacterial small subunit ribosomal RNA
Source: RNAcentral